This 269-nucleotide ribosomal RNA is filed under the name uncultured bacterium. RNAcentral describes it as "partial 16S ribosomal RNA". It matches the Rfam family "Bacterial small subunit ribosomal RNA", at positions 28 to 269 of the family's 1533-position model. The record is from RNAcentral.
GACGAACGCUGGCGGCGCGCCUAACACAUGCAAGUCGAACGGAGGUUAUUCUGAAUGAAGUUUUCGGAUGGAUUUUGGAUUAACUUAGUGGCGAACGGGUGAGUAACGCGUGAGUAACCUGCCCUGGAGUGGGGGACAACAGUUGGAAACGACUGCCUAAUACCGCAUAAGCCCACGGUGCCGCAUGGCACAGUACGGGAAAAGGAUUUAGUUCGCUUCAGGAUGGACUCGCGUCCAAGUUAGCCUAGUUGGUGAGGUAACGGCCCACC